GCCAGACUCCUACGGGAGGCAGCAGUGGGGAAUAUUGCACAAUGGGGGAAACCCUGAUGCAGCGACGCCGCGUGAGUGGAGAAGUAUUUCGGUAUGUAAAGCUCUAUCAGCAGGGAGGAAGAAGGGCGGUACCUGAGUAAGAAGCCCCGGCUAACUACGUGCCAGCAGCCGCGGUAAUACGUAGGGGGCAAGCGUUAUCCGGAUUCACUGGGUGUAAAGGGAGCGUAGACGGCCAUGCAAGCCAGGGGUGAAAGCCCGGGGCCCAACCCCGGGACUGCCCUUGGAACUGCAUGGCUGGAGUGCGGGAGGGGCAGGCGGAAUUCCUGGUGUAGCGGUGAAAUGCGUAGAUAUCAGGAGGAACACCGGCGGCGAAGGCGGCCUGCUGGACCGCGACUGACGUUGAGGCUCGAAAGCGUGGGGAGCGAACAGGAUUAGAUCCCCCUGUA
This 446-nucleotide ribosomal RNA is filed under the name uncultured bacterium. RNAcentral's name for it is "bacterial SSU rRNA". It matches the Rfam family "Bacterial small subunit ribosomal RNA", at positions 330 to 792 of the family's 1533-position model. The record is from RNAcentral.